RNAcentral lists this long non-coding RNA (1814 nucleotides) under Micromonas commoda. Its description in RNAcentral is "long non-coding RNA (MCOM_LNC000045)". Lineage: Eukaryota; Viridiplantae; Chlorophyta; Mamiellophyceae; Mamiellales; Mamiellaceae. The record is from RNAcentral.
AACAUGGUUAAGUAGCCCUUCUUAGUCCGUCUUUCACCGAAGCUUCAUCGAAACUUCAUCGCGAUCGAUAGACCGUCUAUGACUCGUCCCAAAUCACUCUCCCGCGAACCAAACAUUCCUGUUCAGUCACUAGGGAGGCACCUUGCACGGAUGGGAUUGGAAUUGCUUUUCUUAUUUUCGCUACGAAAAGCUCCUCUUGUGAAAAAGUUUGCGGCACCUUCGAUUUGCUGAGAAGUGAAAAGACCUCCGUUUCUGCCCGUGGCCAUCACGUCCACGUGCUCAAAUAAUUUUCGUAUCAAGGUUUCGGGGUAAAAAUGUCGCGGAAAAAAAAUAUCCACAGUAUGGCCAUUUCAGUCAGGACGAGGUACCGAUACCUAGGUUAUUUACUACGUACAGUAACUGAUUAUCAGUACCGAACCCAGACCUAAAAUUACAAAAUGCAACCUCGGGUAUGUAUAUAUGUAGCUACUGUAUGAGAAUUCAGUACCCGAGGUGUAACCCCGGAUUUUGGGGGGUGUAUUGUCCACCCAUAGAAUUAUCAAGCAUUUUUGUUUAUUUCCUUCCCAAUAGCUAAUAUAAAAAUAUUAGAUACUGCUAUUGCUAUUUAUUAGACGAUCGGGCGAGAAAUAAUAUUAAAUAAUGCUAACACGCACGUAUUAGCUUGCUAUGAUAUAUUAAUAGCUAGAUAGAUAGCGAUAAUGCAAUAGACCAGACUCCCCCUAUAUCGUUGACUUUCGGUCGGCAAGGUGGUUACCAUAGGUUUUCAAAUGCCGACACGCGCUUCGCGCCAAAUAAACAGGGGCAACGUCGUAUCGUGCGACGCAAACUCGUCAACGUCGAUGUGCGCUUCCGAUGAUGAUGCCCUCCAUCUUUGGCGCCGAAAAGUGUAUUUGUGAGCCGCCAAGCGCGCUCGCCGUCCUCACUGGGCGCCAUAGGAAAAAAAAGCACCCGCGACCCUGUUUUAGUCAAAAUAAAGUCAACGAGUCAACAAAUCACGAGUCAACGAUAUGGAGUCGGUUCCAUUGAUCAAUCAAGCAAUAUUCACCUUCGUUCGUUCAUCAUCAUCCCUGAUAGGAUCUGACGAAGGUACCUUCGUAAUUGACCGUUGCACAAAGGCUUCGCACCUUCGCAUCCGUCACCAAACCUCUACGUGGCGAGAGUGACCUGUUUAAAUUAGCAGGGCUGCUCGAAAGACAGGUUCGACUCCCCGAAAAUCUGACCACUCUCAGCGGAAGACGGACUGCAAAUAACUAUUUGAAUCAGCGUUCGCUUCCGAUAAAGAUGAGAACGACAGCUGAGGGUGUCGUCACCAACCUGAAGGAGUUGCACGACGACAAUAUCUUCCGUACUCGCAUCCUUUCAGGUGACAAUCGGUGAGCGCUCAGCAGCAUGACGCUCUUUCCUAGUAGCCUCCCGGUGUAAGGAAGGUCACUUCGCGUUUUCCGACAAAACGUUCCCCGACUUCCGACCCGUGCAGUUGUGCCGAUCCGUAUAGAUUUGAUUCCAGCUAGUACAAGAAAUCAAAUACUGACCUCGCAUGUUCCCUUUCAGCGCGUGGUUGCAGCGGCGAGAGUCAAAAGUUGCGUUGAGAAAGGAGCGGAAACGGUAAUUCUCAUUUCUCUGAUAUCUUCAGCUUGCUUUCAAUGACUUUUGUCUUGCGCUUGCGCUUGUGGUAUUCUCAGGAAAAAUGACAAUUCCGACGGAGAAAAAGAAAAUCUUGAAAGGGAAGGUACAUUAGACGGCAGAUGUCAGUCAGGAAGAAUCUUCCAAGAGAAAACCGAUCAUCUGCAACAUGGAAUUAUGGAUUCGACGAU